This 564-nucleotide long non-coding RNA is filed under the name Homo sapiens (human). RNAcentral's name for it is "non-protein coding lnc-PRR30-1:2". The record is from RNAcentral. Lineage: Eukaryota; Metazoa; Chordata; Mammalia; Primates; Hominidae.
AGUGCGCGUCUGCGAGACCGACUUGGACGGAGCCGAGCUGAGGCUCGGCUUCCUGCUGAUGGUCAGGGUUUUGGCAACUCCCCGGUGUGAGAGGGGUAGGGAGUGCUCCCGGCGGCGACGGGGCCGAGUUCACCAGCCGCCGGGGCAGUAGUCGAAGGCCCGGCGCGGCAUGUCCUGGGUGCCGCGGUGCGGGCAGUGAACGCGCGCCGGGCGGGAUGGGCCGGCGCCGGGCGCCAGAGCUGUACCGGGCUCCGUUCCCGUUGUACGCGCUUCAGGUCGACCCCAGCACUGGGCUGCUCAUCGCUGCGGGCGGAGGAGGCGCCGCCAAGACAGGCAUAAAGAAUGGCGUGGUUCCAAGGAGCAGGGGCCUCGACAAAGGAAGGGAGCAGCCCCAGCAGAGAAGAAAUGUGGAGCGGAAACCCAGCACGAGGGGCUAGAACUCAGGGUAGAGAAUUUGCAGGCGGUGCAGACAGACUUUAGCUCCGAUCCACUGCAGAAAGUUGUGUGCUUCAACCACGAUAAUACCCUGCUUGCCACUGGAGGAACAGAUGGCUACGUCCGUGU